This 253-nucleotide ribosomal RNA is filed under the name uncultured bacterium. RNAcentral describes it as "partial 16S ribosomal RNA". It matches the Rfam family "Bacterial small subunit ribosomal RNA", at positions 524 to 776 of the family's 1533-position model. The record is from RNAcentral.
UACGAGGGGGGCAAAUGUUGUUCGGAAUCACUGGGCGUAAAGGGAGCGUAGGCGGGCUUCUAAGUUAGGUGUUUAAUCCCGGGGCCCAACCCCGGUCGUGCACCUAAAACUGGGAGUCUUGAAUAGUGGAGAGGUCAGUGGAAUUGGGGGUGUAGCGGUGGAAUGCGUAGAGAUCCCCAAGAACACCAGUUGCGAAGGCGGCUGACUGGACACAUAUUGACGCUGAGGCUCGAAAGCAUGGGGAGCAAACAGG